Non-coding RNA from Mycena rebaudengoi, 92 nucleotides. The record is from the annotation of a GenBank genome assembly. NCBI's taxonomy places the organism in Eukaryota, Fungi, Basidiomycota, Agaricomycetes, Agaricales, Mycenaceae.
UCGGAUGUGGUGCACGGUGGACAUCAGCUACCACUAAAGGGGUGAGGAUGUGCUGUAAGCUGAAGAACGGGGUUCGACUCCCCGCAUCUGAA